RNAcentral lists this ribosomal RNA (274 nucleotides) under uncultured Spirotrichea. RNAcentral's name for it is "partial small subunit ribosomal RNA". It matches the Rfam family "Eukaryotic small subunit ribosomal RNA", at positions 195 to 469 of the family's 1831-position model. The record is from RNAcentral. Lineage: Eukaryota; Ciliophora; Spirotrichea.
GGAGGGCCGUAUUUAUUAGAUAACAGACCAAUAUUCUUCGUGUCUAUUGUGGUGAAUCAUAGUAACUAAUCGGAUCGUAUGGGCUAGUCCCUCGACAAACCAUUCAAGUUUCUGCCCCAUCAGCUUUCGAUGGUAGUGUAUUGGACUACCAUGGCUUUCACGGGUAACGGAGGAUUAGGGUUCGAUUCCGGAGAGGGAGCCUGAGAAACGGCUACCACAUCUAAGGAAGGCAGCAGGCGCGUAAAUUACCCAAUUCUGACUCAGAGAGGUAGUG